ACAAUGAUAGAAAAUUAUCAUCUUAGCAACCACACACCCCAAUAACUAAUGAGUUAUGAUACAUAUGGAAUGCAAGAAAACACCCUCCAAUCAAGAUGAUUCCAAAACCCAAGGAUCUCCUCAAGUGAAGUUAGGAAAAACUAGUUCCAAGUAGGAAACACUCCCUCACGUGUUUCUCUCAAUUAAAAUGUCACCACUCGUGUUUCACUCAAAGUUUUGGCUUUU
This 225-nucleotide long non-coding RNA is filed under the name Ricinus communis (castor bean). RNAcentral's name for it is "long non-coding RNA (RCOM_LNC002917)". Lineage: Eukaryota; Viridiplantae; Streptophyta; Magnoliopsida; Malpighiales; Euphorbiaceae. The record is from RNAcentral.